Macaca mulatta (Rhesus monkey) is the source of this 1363-nucleotide non-coding RNA. The record is from RefSeq and is a predicted model, not a curated record. NCBI's taxonomy places the organism in Eukaryota, Metazoa, Chordata, Mammalia, Primates, Cercopithecidae.
CGACGGAGUUGGGGGCAUUUUCAUCAACUACAACAUGGAGGACAAUAGUUUGUCACAGAGUUGUGGCAGAUAGUAUAAAGAUAAUAUAUUUUGAAGCACCCAGCACAUGGGCCAAUGGCUACCCUAAAGUAAAAUGAUUCAUUGAUGACAGAAAAAAUGAGACCUUGCCAAUAAACUACUCCUAAACUAUUAAAGAAAUGAUGCUUUGAGGAUCCCAUCUUCAUUCUAAGCUUAGCAGAGUGGCUUGAAGGGCUGUUAAGGACCUGACUAAAAUCCUGUGAAGAGAGGAGGGGUAUCCCCAGUUGUUCUAACUGUGAAUAAUCCUGGAAGAAGUUCACAACAAGAGAUUCCCAGUCCCUUACCAUGAGAAGCCACCUACAACUGCCAGAGCUGAUGGGAUUAUUCCAGUUUCAUCUUCUCAAGGAGGAUUCUGAGAACCACUGAAGGAAUAAACCUGACCUGAUAGGUGAACUAUUUCAGAAGGAAAGGCAGGAGGAAGAAAUGCUGACUCUGCCUAAUCCCUAAACCAUCCUACUCUGCUCCAGUGAAGGACUGCAGAGUAUUUCCUGCAACCCAACCACAACAGGAAGACUCGGCUCUAUCCUUGGACCACCAGGGGGAUCCCAGUGUGGGCCUGAUGUGUGGGGGUGAAAGCUGCAUUGUCUCCCAGCUUCUCAACGGCCCCCAAGUUGCCAGUGAAAACAGAAGAAAUUCACAAAGCCCAGAAACCAGGGCUCAGGUUGUCAUAAGGCAGGGGUGAAAUGUUACUUCAGUUUCUACAGAUCACUAAGUUCAUUUAACCAUGGAAAUGUGAUGCUGGUAACUGCCAAGAAAAGGUGAGAUGCCAGUGACGGUCUUCAAGUGGUGAAAUGUGUCCCCUCGACUGAUUUCACCAUUUACUUUUCUGAGGUUCUAAUGGCAGAUCACAAAAAGUUAUUUUAAAAAAAAGAAGUAGUCCACUAGAUGGUGAGCUCUAUGAGGUCAGAAAGGACUACUAUUUUGUCUGUUGUUGUCAUUAUUGUUGUUGUUCAUUAUUGUACUGUUCCUGGAGCCAAGCACGGUACUCAACACAUUGCAGGCAUGAAUUAACAUUUAUUGGGUGCUUACAUGUUCUAGACACUUCUGAGAACUGGUAAUACUGUGGUAAAUAAGACAAAGCUCUUGCUUUCAUGGAGCUCACAUUCUAUUUGGGAAAGGAAAAAAUAAAUAGAAUUAAAUGAAAAAGAAAAUAUCAGAAACUGACAAGUAUCAGGGAAAGCAGGUGGCGGUGAAUUUAAAUGGCAUGGAUAGGAAGGACAGGCCUUUUUCAUUGCAUGACUGGAGCUAGCUAUGAGAAGAUCACAAGACUUCCCAUUCUUGAGUG